RNAcentral lists this ribosomal RNA (333 nucleotides) under uncultured Fibrobacter sp. Its description in RNAcentral is "bacterial SSU rRNA". It matches the Rfam family "Bacterial small subunit ribosomal RNA", at positions 268 to 600 of the family's 1533-position model. The record is from RNAcentral. Lineage: Bacteria; Pseudomonadati; Fibrobacterota; Fibrobacteria; Fibrobacterales; Fibrobacteraceae.
CCAAGGCGACGAUCGGUAGCCGGCCUGAGAGGGUGAUCGGCCACAUUGGGACUGAGAUACGGCCCAGACUCCUACGGGAGGCAGCAGUAGGGAAUAUUGCACAAUGGGGGAAACCCUUAUGCAGCAACGCCACGUGUGGGAAGAAGCAUUUCGGUGUGUAAACCACUGUCAUGAGGGAAUAAGGCCGGCCUCCGGGCGGAAUUGAAUGUACCUUGAGAGGAAGCACCGGCAAACUUCGUGCCAGCAGCCGCGGUAAUACGAGGGGUGCAAGCGUUGUUCGGAAUUACUGGGCGUAAAGGGAGCGUAGGCGGAGAUUCAAGCGGAUUGUACAAU